Molecule: ribosomal RNA, 253 nt
Filed under: uncultured bacterium
Lineage: Bacteria
Description: partial 16S ribosomal RNA
Rfam family: Bacterial small subunit ribosomal RNA
Source: RNAcentral
UACAGAGGUCCCAAGCGUUGUUCGGAUUCAUUGGGCGUAAAGGGCGCGUAGGCGGCGCGGUAAGUCACUUGUGAAAUCUCUGAGCUUAACUCAGAACGGCCAAGUGAUACUGCAGUGCUAGAGUGUGGAAGGGGCAAUCGGAAUUCUUGGUGUAGCGGUGAAAUGCGUAGAUAUCAAGAGGAACACCUGAGGUGAAGACGGGUUGCUGGGCCAACACUGACGCUGAGGCGCGAAAGCCAGGGGAGCAAACGGG